UCCGGCCGGUGGGGUGGGUGGAGGGUGAGAGGGUAAGUCAUGCUUCCUCUCUCAAUUAGUGGUUGCUGGGCCCUCUUCAGACUCCCCCCUUCCCCAAAAACCAAACCAAACAAAAAACAACAUUCUUCAGCCUCACUGCAUAAAACUAAAUGUUAGAUUUAUGGUCAAAUUUUAAUAUCUGCAAAAAACACAAAAUUUCUUGAUAAAAAUUUUGAUUAUUUUUGCUUUCUUAAAACAUUCAAACAAGACUGAGGCAAUUAUGCGAUAAGGCUAAAGAACUGUUAGUGAUCGAGAGACAUGUUUUUUUUAAAGUAAGUACAGACAUGGAGGAAACUGUGAUUUUGCCAUUAGGGCGGGUGGUGGAGGGUCAAGGGGGGGGUGCAUACCUCCUUCGUUAAUUGCUGGUUUCUGGCCCCUCUUCCCAAAAAGCCCCCCCCCCCAAAAAAAGAAAAAAAAACAUUCUUUAUUCUGCAUGCCCUCUGAUACAAUAUCAAUGUCGGUCAUUAAUUUCCUUCAACCAAUCAAAUUCUGAGUUGGUGUCAGCAGGGCUUUCUAGCAGGCUUAGCCAACGUCUCAGUAUUCAGACCUUCUGAUUGGACAGAAGUUUCAGGAAAACAGGAAAAAUUUCCCAACUGCAGCCUUGCCCAGUUUGACACAGAGCCACGGAGCACUUUUUUAUCUGUCUCUGUUUAAAAACAGAGCUGACUGUAAUGGAUGAUUUAGCAAGUAAAUCUCCCACUGAUCUCCUUUACUUCCUUCAUCAGAAAAAUCUGAGUAAGAGCACGAGCAGCCGUACAGAUUUGUGUGUUUGGAGCUGACCAUUCCCGUGUCCACUGCGUCUGUCGAACGGACAUUUUUAGCUCUGAAGCAAAUUAAAACCUACGCAAAAACACAACUGGACAGACUCGGCCUUAAAUUGUGGGAUGGCUACAUUUCAUUUCCCUAUUCAUUUUCUAUGAGCCUUCUCAGGAUCACAUGGACUUUGAGUUUUUGCCUGCUGUUAACAAAAAAUGGCAGAAAUUCACAACUUUUUGGGUGGAAAAUCCCACAAAACAAGAUAUUUUGAGGACUAAUCUUUAUUUUGAUAACAUUUCUAUCGAGAAAUUUACCUUUUACUUUCAUAAUAUACAUUCAUUUAGGCUUACGUGGGUCACAUGACAAGUGAGUUUAUCUUUUUUCUGGGGAAAACCUCGUAAAAAGGUCUGUUGCAGCUUGAUUUACAUUUCUAAGGACCGGUGUAUGGGUUUCGUGUUCCGUGUUGCUAUUGCGGCGAUCACUAGUGGAACAGGCUUUGAAUGACAUUUGAAUCAAACAAUGUUGAGUUCAGGGACAGGGACGUACCCGGAACACCUCCCCAGUGAGGCAUCUCAGGAGGCCCAAGCCCCCUCAACUGGCUCCUCUGGAUGUAGAGAAACAGAAGUCUCCACUCAGAGCUCUCUCCAGGUGACUGAGCUUCCUAAACAUGUUCCGUGAAGACAUAUUUGUGAAUCCCUUAUAUUUGCAGAGAUGGCUUUCUCCACAGAACGUGCAGUUCUUCUGCUCUGAUGUAGUCUACGAGUACUGGCCAUAUUUGGAGAAGGUUGUGUUCCAGUGUCCUGAGAUGCAGGACCUGUUGGACAUGUGUCCUAUUCAAGCUCCCUCUUGGAUGAAUGAGGAGGAUCUGGGGAUGUAAUCGAGAAGGGACCACAUUAGGGAAAGGGACUGAACCAAGUAAACAGCUUCCUCUCUUCAGCAGACACAUGUUCCGAGUACAUGUAUGUCAAAAGCUGACAUCCUCACCGUUCAGGCCGGUGGCUGGAACAAGCCAAAGUCAGAAAAGCUGGACCAAAUAUUACCAAAAUGACACUCCCAGGAUCAAUCAUAAUGACCCGGAAAAAAACAUUGAAGGACUUUAUCUGAGCAUCAGGAAAACAAGUAUCAGCUGUGUCAAGAAAAUAUGGUUAUGGUGUCAUGGUAAAGAACAAAAGGCUUUAUGAUGUCAUGCUGCUGACCAGACUGGGGUUGGUGAAGUCAAGCAGGGCCGCGGAUCCUUGAAGAGUUGUUGAAGAGCUCUCCUCCCAGCUUUUGGAAGGUAUUGCCCUGCAAAGCCAGGAAGUUUUCUCUUUGUAAAUUGCAUGAAAGUCCACAGCUUGUAGCACUUGUGUGUUUUUCUCACACAAAUGCUAUAUGAAUUAAAUGAAUUAAAUUCUUAGGCAGCACAGAGGCAGUGACAGAGUGAGGCGUGAGGGACUAACUGCCUGCUGAGGAGGAGAUUGUUUCAGAUCAAAUGUCCAUUAAAAGCCCCAGCCCCACCCCUAAA
Molecule: long non-coding RNA, 2299 nt
Organism: Oryzias latipes (Japanese medaka)
Lineage: Eukaryota; Metazoa; Chordata; Actinopteri; Beloniformes; Adrianichthyidae
Source: RefSeq, a predicted model, not a curated record